Molecule: long non-coding RNA, 770 nt
Filed under: Zea mays
Lineage: Eukaryota; Viridiplantae; Streptophyta; Magnoliopsida; Poales; Poaceae
Description: long non-coding RNA (ZMAY_LNC002099)
Source: RNAcentral
GCCGAGCAUUCCUUGCCCCAGCAGUACAUUCACGCGUUCAAAGACGGACAAUUUACGACAUCUCCAGUGUCUCAUUCUAGGGCUUGAUUGUCUGCACGGCUGCCAUUUCUUAUUUCCUUUUGUUUACAUCAGCUAGCUUAUUACCUGCCAUCUGGACUUAUAUUUUGUAGUUAGCAAGGUAACUAGAUAUUAGAACGGGUCAAAAUUUUCACCAUUUCUUAUUUCCUUUUGUUUACAUCAGCUAGCUUAUUACCUGCCAUCUGAAAUUUUAAUUAAGUAAACUGAAACUUUGGUUCCACUUUUGCUUUUCCAAGGCUCUCAACUUCAUAUUUCACCAUCCAGCACUUACACAAACCAUUCUGGGAGAACAUGGCGAAAUUGAACUGAAAGGAGACCAUAGUUUCUUUCUGUAUAAAAAAUAUAUAUACGCUGCUCUUGACCAUUCUCUCAUUUUUGCUAAAACUUUUACAGGUUGAGCAUUCCUUGCCCCAGCAGUACAUUCACGCGUUCAAAGACGGACAAUUUACGACAUCUCCAGUGUCUCAUUCUGGGGCUUGAUUGUCUGCACGGCUGCCAUUUCUUAUUUCCUUUUGUUUACAUCAGCUAGCUUAUUACCUGCCAUCUGGACUUAUAUUUUGUAGUUAGCAAGGUAAGGGACCAGAUUGUACAUUUGAUUGAUUCCUCUCCAGAACACAGAUGUAUUAUUGUCAACUGUCAUAGUGAUCAGAAAGAAGGGCUUAUCAUCCUUCUGUAAUCAGUAGAAUGUGAUA